RNA transcript from Capsicum annuum, 1586 nucleotides. RefSeq lists it as uncharacterized. Lineage: Eukaryota; Viridiplantae; Streptophyta; Magnoliopsida; Solanales; Solanaceae. The transcript is spliced from 3 exons. The record is from RefSeq and is a predicted model, not a curated record.
AUUGAUUUUAGAUUACAUGGUUACAAAAGAGUUAGGUAAAAAGAUAAAUAAUAGUACUGUACUCCGUUAAUAUGAAAAAUCCAAUAUAUUCUUGCACAAAAAGUGAAUCAUCUUAUUGUCUUUUCUCCAAUGCCCCAUCCCUUUAAAUUUAAAUCUGCUCUGCUAUUCUAUUCUUCUUUUUAUCUCUCUGAUCCAAACACUUUGUUUUGUCAUAAAAACUUAGACAAGUGCAUGCCUACAUUAAUUGUCUCUCCCUAUUAAAGCCCAAUUCCUUACCCAUUUUGCUCUAUCCAACAAUUCCCAUUUAGUCAUUCAAAUUUUAUUACCAAUUCUAGCUAGCUACCUACAUAGUUCAAAAUUAUGUCAAAACAACUUGGACAAUUCCUUCAAGAACAACAAGAACCAUUUACCUUAGAACUUUAUCUUCUUGAAAGAGGUCAAUUUAGAAACAAACACCUUACUUCAGAUGGCGAUUUUCGGUGUUGUUCUAUUAAUUCUAGUACUAAUUUCUUGAAGAGAUCAGCUAGCUGUGGUGCAAAGAAGAGAAGACAAGUACUCAUUCUUAAUUGUUCAAAGAUUGUAAAGUCAGUGUUCAACAAGCUUGUUAUUACCAUUAACCAUAACCAAAAAAACAAGAACUUGGCAAAUGAUCAAGAACAGUACCACAACAAUUCUACAAAUGAUGAUCAGAAAUUUUCUUCAGCUAGUAGAACUACUCUCUUUCAUUCUUGUUCUGAUUCUAGUGAUGCAGAUGAAGUAGAAAAUUUAUCAUCAACGCAAGCGGCAGAUGACAACUUUCUACAUGAAAAACAGAUUGGUUGUGGAUAAGGUAACAGGUUUUUGAAGAGAGAAGAAAGCUAAGAUUGGAUUUUCUUGAAGAAAGUAAGCAACUUAGCCCUGUGUCAGUUCUAGAUGAAACUGAAUCUUCUGACGAUGAUCAUUCUCCACAUGUCAAAAGUAGUAAGUACAUUGACAUUACUACUUUUUUUUGUCUUGAUAACAACUUUAGCUUCCGUUUUUCCAUAGAUUUUGAAGUUGAAACGUGAACCUUUGAGUUCUACAAAUUGAUCAAAUUUCAUGACCAAACAGAUACUUGAAGAUAAAUCUUUUUCAAAGAACAAGGAUGUCCCAAGGCAAACAAACAAGAGGAAUUUUCAAGGCCAUCAGUUUGUAAUUCAGGGGAAACAAGUCCUGAGUCUCAGUACAUUAAGAACAAGAAAGCAGUACAACAAUCAAGACAGCUCCUUUUCGACUGUGUUAGAGAAGUGGUGGAUAAUCAAAGAGAUAAACAUACCCAGAAAGAUGAAUUUCAGAGAAUAUUAGGAGCUGAGCAACUAUGGGAGCUUCUAUUACAGAAUAUUUGGUUAUGGAGCCAAGAAUCCAUAAAUGAAACUAAUAUCAACCACUUGAUGCAUUUUGAUAUGUUGAAUUCUUUUGAAUUGUCAAGUGGUGUUGAGGAGAAAAGGGAAAUUGGUAAAGUGGUUAGUGAUUUAAUUUUUGUUGAUAUUAGUAAUGAGAUUGUACUAGACAUGUUUAAUUGUUAUUCUUCAAGGUGAAUUUAGAAGGGAAAAAAAUAGUUACAAUCA